RNAcentral lists this ribosomal RNA (440 nucleotides) under uncultured bacterium. Its description in RNAcentral is "partial 16S ribosomal RNA". It matches the Rfam family "Bacterial small subunit ribosomal RNA", at positions 338 to 795 of the family's 1533-position model. The record is from RNAcentral.
CCUACGGGAGGCAGCAGUGGGGAAUAUUGCACAAUGGGGGAAACCCUGAUGCAUCGACGCCGCGUGAGUGAAGAAGUAUUUCGGUAUGUAAAGCUCUAUCAGCAGGGAAGAAAAUGACGGUAACGGAUUAAGAAGCCCCGGAUAACUACGUGACAGCAACCGCGGGAAUACGUAGGGGGCAAGCGUUAUCCGGAUUUACUGGGUGGAAAGGGAGCGUAGACGGCAGCAUAAGUCUGGAGUGAAAUGCCGGGGCUUAACCCCGGAACUGCUUUGGAUACUGUGCAGCUAGAGUGCAGGAGAGGUAAGUGGAAUUCCUAGUGUAGCGGUGAAAUGCGUAGAUAUUAGGAAGAACACCAGAGGCGAAGGUGGCUUACUGGACUGUAACUGACGUUGAGGGUCGAAAGCGUGGGGAGCAAACAGGAUUAGAUACCCGUGUAGUC